Molecule: ribosomal RNA, 552 nt
Filed under: uncultured bacterium
Lineage: Bacteria
Description: partial 16S ribosomal RNA
Rfam family: Bacterial small subunit ribosomal RNA
Source: RNAcentral
UGGGGAAUAUUGCACAAUGGGCGAAAGCCUGAUGCAGCGACGCCGCGUGAGGGAUGACGGCCUUCGGGUUGUAAAACCUCUUUCAGCAGGGAAGAAGCGAAAGUGACGGUACCUGCAGAAGAAGCGCCGGCUAACUACGUGCCAGCAGCCGCGGUAAUACGUAGGGCGCAAGCGUUGUCCGGAAUUAUUGGGCGUAAAGAGCUCGUAGGCGGUUAGUCGCGUCUGCUGUGAAAACUCGAGGCUCAACCUCGGGCUUGCAGUGGGUACGGGCUGACUAGAGUGCGGUAGGGGUGACUGGAAUUCCUGGUGUAGCGGUGGAAUGCGCAGAUAUCAGGAGGAACACCGAUGGCGAAGGCAGGUCACUGGGCCGCAACUGACGCUGAGGAGCGAAAGCAUGGGGAGCGAACAGGAUUAGAUAGCCCCUGGUAGUCCAUGCCGUAAACGUUGGGCACUAGGUGUGGGUCCAUUCCACGGAUUCCGUGCCGCAGCAAAGCGCAUUAAGUGCCCCGCCUGGGGAGUACGGCCGCAAGGCUAAAACUUAAAGGAAUUGAC